CUAACUCAUUAAGGCAUAAUCACACCUGGAGCCUUUCGUGAGAGAAGCUCCUCUUUAAAAAGGCAAACACUUAACCACAGCCGUCGGUCAGUGGCGCCUUAGAGAGAUUCCUCUAACCUCCCCCAAGAGGGUCAACACCGAGAGCACGACUGCUUGGAAAAGGAAUCAGGGCACCAGAAAAGUAACUCUGAGGAUGGAGGUGUGGAUUUGGCUGACGUGGAAACCUCGAGGCAGGCCGGCGCCCGGGAGGCCGGGGUCAGGGCCGCGAGGCGGGAUGAACAGUUGGGACCCUUACUGCCCGUGUUCCAUGGGGGUCAUUCCAGAGGACAUUGGCCGAGACAUUUUGAGCUGCCUCUGCUUUUCCUCUGCUGAGUCGCAAAGUUAUCUACAAUAGACACUUAUUUUGUUAUUUACCAUUAGAAGAGGACCAGGAUAGCAGAGCCUAGCCUGUGCCUUGAGAGGUUUAUAUCCAGCUCUGCCACAGCCUAGCCAUGACCUCGGACAAGUUACUUCACCUCCAUGCCUCCGUCUCUUCUUUGUAAAAUGGUAAUAAUGAUAGUAUUUUCCCCAUAGGGUUAUUGUGACUAUUGGCUGUGUUCUGUAACCAGAGUGCUCAGAACUUAGUGAGGGCUCUAUACGUACUUGAGAUUUUAUAGACUCUGACCAGUAGGUGCAUCUUUUUGAAAAGCUUACUGAUGGAAAGAAUUACAUUCUCUGUUUUCUUUCAGAUUGCUUCUCAUUUCGCAUUUCCCCAUAUUUGUCUCUCUGUUAACUUUGUUACAAGUUAACAAAAAGGAAUGUUAUACUUUGAAUUAUAUCUUAAUUCUGUGCCCCACUGGAAAUAAAGUUUCCAAAUGAGA
Long non-coding RNA from Orcinus orca (killer whale), 860 nucleotides. RefSeq lists it as uncharacterized. The record is from RefSeq and is a predicted model, not a curated record. NCBI's taxonomy places the organism in Eukaryota, Metazoa, Chordata, Mammalia, Artiodactyla, Delphinidae. The transcript has 2 exons.